GACGAACGCUGGCGGCGUGCCUAAUACAUGCAAGUCGAACUCUGAAGGAGGAGCUUGCUCUUCUGGAUGAGUUGCGAACGGGUGAGUAACGCGUAGGUAACCUGCCUGGUAGCGGGGGAUAACUAUUGGAAACGAUAGCUAAUACCGCAUAACAGUAGAUGUUGCAUGACAUUUACUUAAAAGGUGCAAUUGCAUUACUACCAGAUGGACCUGCGUUGUAUUAGCUGGUUGGUGGGGUAACGGCUCACCACGGCGACGAAACAGACCCGACCUGGGAGGGUGUUCGGCCACAUGGGAACGGGGACAGGGCCAGGACUCUUACGGGAGGAACCGUAGGGGAACUUUGGGCAUGGGCGGAAGGCCGGACGAAGAAAGGCGGCGGGGGGAAGGAGGGUCUCGGAACGGAAAACUCGUUUUUAAGGGGAGAAAGAGUGUGAGAGUGGAAAGUUCACACUGUGACGGUACCUAAACAGAAAGCGACGGCUAACUACGUG
RNAcentral lists this ribosomal RNA (494 nucleotides) under uncultured bacterium. Its description in RNAcentral is "partial 16S ribosomal RNA". It matches the Rfam family "Bacterial small subunit ribosomal RNA", at positions 28 to 507 of the family's 1533-position model. The record is from RNAcentral.